CAAUAGCGUAUAUUAAAGUUGUUGCAGUUAAAAAGCUCGUAGUUGAAUUUCUGGCGGGCGCGCCGGUCUUCCAAGUGUUGUACUGGGCGCAGUCCGCCAUCCUUGUGGAGAGGGCUCGCAUUGAGUUGCGUGUCGGAUCUGCAUCAUUUACUGUGAAAAAAUUAGAGUGUUUAAAGCAGGCUGUCGCUUGAAUACAUUAGCAUGGAAUAAUAAGAUAGGACUUCGGUCUAUUUUGUUGGUUGCGAACCGAGGUAAUGAUUAAUAGGGAUAGUUGGGGGUAUUCAUAUUUAAUUGUCAGAGGUGAAAUUCUUGGAUUUAUGAAAGAUGAACAACUGCGAAAGCAUUUACCAAGGACGUUUUCAUUAA
Molecule: ribosomal RNA, 366 nt
Filed under: uncultured eukaryote
Lineage: Eukaryota
Description: partial 18S ribosomal RNA
Rfam family: Eukaryotic small subunit ribosomal RNA
Source: RNAcentral